GUAGGUGGCAAGCGUUGUCCGGAAUUAUUGGGCGUAAAGCGCGCGCAGGUGGUUCUUUAAGUCUGAUGUGAAAGCCCCCGGCUCAACCGGGGAGGGUCAUUGGAAACUGGGGAACUUGAGUGCAGGAGAGGAAAGUGGAAUUCCACGUGUAGCGGUGAAAUGCGUAGAUAUGUGGAGGAACACCAGUGGCGAAGGCGACUUUCUGGCCUGUAACUGACACUGAGGCGCGAAAGCGUGGGGAGCAAACAGGGAUUAGAUACCCGUGGUAGUCCACGCCGUAAACGAUGAGUGCUAAGUGUUGGGGGGGUUUCCCGCCCCUCAGUGCUGCAGCUAACGCAUUAAGCACUCCGCCUGGGGAGUACGUCGCAAGACUG
RNAcentral lists this ribosomal RNA (374 nucleotides) under uncultured organism. RNAcentral's name for it is "partial 16S ribosomal RNA". It matches the Rfam family "Bacterial small subunit ribosomal RNA", at positions 527 to 896 of the family's 1533-position model. The record is from RNAcentral.